UACGUAGGGGGCAAGCGUUGUCCGGAUUUAUUGGGCGUAAAGAGCGUGUAGGCGGCCAUACAGGUCAGCUGUGAAAACUCGAGGCUCAACCUCGAGACGUCGGUUGAAACCGUAUGGCUAGAGUCCGGAAGAGGAGAGUGGAAUUCCCGGUGUAGAGGUGAAAUUCGUAGAUAUCGGGAGGAACACCUGUGGCGAAGGCGGCCAUCUGGACAACUACUGACACUGAGACGCGAAAGCGUGGGUAGCAAACAGG
RNAcentral lists this ribosomal RNA (253 nucleotides) under uncultured bacterium. Its description in RNAcentral is "partial 16S ribosomal RNA". It matches the Rfam family "Bacterial small subunit ribosomal RNA", at positions 524 to 776 of the family's 1533-position model. The record is from RNAcentral.